This 343-nucleotide ribosomal RNA is filed under the name uncultured bacterium. Its description in RNAcentral is "partial 16S ribosomal RNA". It matches the Rfam family "Bacterial small subunit ribosomal RNA", at positions 917 to 1269 of the family's 1533-position model. The record is from RNAcentral.
GGGCCCGCACAAGCGGUGGAGCAUGUGGUUUAAUUCGAUGCAACGCGAAGAACCUUACCAGGGUUUGACAUAGUACGAAGUUUUUUGAAAAAAAACCACCUUCGGGAACGUACAUACAGGUGGUGCAUGGCUGUCGUCAGCUCGUGUCGUGAGAUGUUGGGUUAAGUCCCGCAACGAGCGUAACCCUUGUUUUUAGUUGCCUUUCGAGGAUAUUUAGAAAGACUGCCGAUUAUAAAUCGGAGGAAGGUAAGGACGACGUCAAGUCAUCAUGCCCCUUACACUCUGGGCUACACACGUGCUACAAUGGCCGGUACAGAGAGCAGCCACUACGCGAGUAGGCGCG